UACGGGGGGAGCAAGCGUUGUUCGGAUUUACUGGGCGUAAAGGGCGCGUAGGCGGCCAGCACAAGUCGGUUGUGAAAUCUCCGGGCUUAACUCGGAAAGGUCAACCGAUACUGGCGGGCUAGAGUGCGGUAGAGGAGAGUGGAAUUCCCGGUGUAGCAGUGAAAUGCGUAGAGAUCGGGAGGAACAUCAGUUGCGAAGGCGGCUCUCUGGACCAGCACUGACACUGAGGCACGAAAGCGUGGGGAGCAAACAGG
This 254-nucleotide ribosomal RNA is filed under the name uncultured bacterium. RNAcentral describes it as "partial 16S ribosomal RNA". It matches the Rfam family "Bacterial small subunit ribosomal RNA", at positions 524 to 776 of the family's 1533-position model. The record is from RNAcentral.